UACGUAGGGGACAAGCGUUGUCCGGAUUUAUUGGGCGUAAAGAGCGUGUAGGCGGCUUGGUAGGUCUCGCGUCAAAACCUGAGGCUCAACCUCAGUUCGCGUGGGAAACCACCUAGCUAGAGUCCGGAAGAGGAGAACGGAAUUCCCAGUGUAGCGGUGAAAUGCGCAGAUAUUGGGAAGAACACCAGUGGCGAAGGCGGUUCUCUGGGACGGUACUGACGCUGAGACGCGAAAACGUGGGGAGCGAACAGG
Molecule: ribosomal RNA, 252 nt
Filed under: uncultured bacterium
Lineage: Bacteria
Description: partial 16S ribosomal RNA
Rfam family: Bacterial small subunit ribosomal RNA
Source: RNAcentral